Molecule: ribosomal RNA, 253 nt
Filed under: uncultured bacterium
Lineage: Bacteria
Description: partial 16S ribosomal RNA
Rfam family: Bacterial small subunit ribosomal RNA
Source: RNAcentral
UACGUAGGGAGCAAGCGUUGUCCGGAAUCAUUGGGCGUAAAGCGCGCGUAGGUGGCCAUGUAAGUCCGCUGUGAAAGUCAAAGGCUCAACCUUUGAAAGCCGGUGGAUACUGCAUGGCUAGAGUACGGAAGAGGCGAGUGGAAUUCCCGGUGUAGCGGUGAAAUGCGUAGAUAUCGGGAGGAACAUCAGUGGCGAAGGCGGCCCUCUGGUCCAGUACUGACACUCAAGUGCGAAAGCGUGGGGAGCAAACAGG